AUGGGAUCCAGGUGUACACGUGCACGUCCGACGUGCGGAUGGUGUCCACUUUUUGUUAAGGGGUCCAAAAUAAAGCGUCCCAGUCCAUUUCAGGUUGAGAAUAAUAAAAGAAGCCGAGAUGUAAAAGGCUUGUUUUUAGGUGUUAGGUUUGUGUUGCGUCGAGUCAUGGUUAUAAGUUGGUUAGGCUGCAGCUUGAGGACAAGCUGCAUGUCUAGGUGGGGUGUAGUGCUAGAGUACGUAAUAGGCUCAUUAGUCUUAGGGUUAAUUAGAGAUAAGGGUCGUUUGCUUAGGGGUCAAGUAAGCCUUGCUUGA
RNAcentral lists this ribosomal RNA (312 nucleotides) under Triticum aestivum (bread wheat). Its description in RNAcentral is "partial small subunit ribosomal RNA". Lineage: Eukaryota; Viridiplantae; Streptophyta; Magnoliopsida; Poales; Poaceae. The record is from RNAcentral.